CUUCUCGUACUUCGGAGCUUCCGGUGCCGCUGUCUUCAGCGCCGACAACUGGUCAAGGGACUGCAUGGUAUCGGACAUUAUGCGGCCCUCAUGUUCUUGCGAUUCAUCGAUGCGAUAUCCACGAUUUCCGGCUGCUGCGCUUCAUGCGGAUGUUCCGCACCUGCGUAAACACGCAGGUUGCCGAGCUGCACACGGCCCAGCGGACCGCGCGGGAUCAUGCGCUCAAUCGCCUUCUCGACGACGCGCUCAGGAAAGCGACCCUCGAGGAUCGACUUCGCGG
This 280-nucleotide unclassified non-coding RNA is filed under the name Hevea brasiliensis (rubber tree). Lineage: Eukaryota; Viridiplantae; Streptophyta; Magnoliopsida; Malpighiales; Euphorbiaceae. The record is from RNAcentral.